Molecule: small RNA, 125 nt
Filed under: Marmota monax (woodchuck)
Lineage: Eukaryota; Metazoa; Chordata; Mammalia; Rodentia; Sciuridae
Source: RNAcentral
GCCAGGUAUGCUGGUGCACACCUGUAAUCCCAGCUGCUCAGGAGGUUGAGACAGGAGAAUCACGAGUUCAAAGCCAGCCUCAGCAAUGGCGAGGCACUAAGCAACGCAGUAAGACCCUGUCUCUA